RNAcentral lists this ribosomal RNA (433 nucleotides) under uncultured bacterium. RNAcentral describes it as "partial 16S ribosomal RNA". It matches the Rfam family "Bacterial small subunit ribosomal RNA", at positions 29 to 507 of the family's 1533-position model. The record is from RNAcentral.
AACGAACGCUGGCGGCAUGCCUAACACAUGCAAGUCGAACGAUGCAUCCGGGCCUAGUGUCGCACGGGUACGUGACGCGUGGGAACCAACCCUUAGGUUCGGAGUAACUCCCUGAAAGGUGUGCUAAUACCGCAUAUUGUCUUAGGGCCAAAGCUUUAUCGCCUUUGGAUGGGCCCGCGUUGGAUUAGUUAGUUGGUAGGGUAAAAGCCUAGCAAGGCGACGUUCCAUAGCUGGUCUGAGAGGAUGAGCAGUCACACUGGGACUGAGACACGGCCCAGACUCCUACGGGAGGCAGCAGUGGGGGAUAGUGGACAAUGGGCGAAAGCCUGAUCCAGCAGUGCCGCGUGAGUUAUGAAGGCCUUAGGGUUGUAAAGAACCUGUAACCGUGAUGAUAAUGACAGUACCGGGAGAAUAAGCGCCGGCUAACUCCGUG